Molecule: ribosomal RNA, 510 nt
Filed under: uncultured bacterium
Lineage: Bacteria
Description: partial 16S ribosomal RNA
Rfam family: Bacterial small subunit ribosomal RNA
Source: RNAcentral
GACGAACGCUGGCGGCGUGCUUAACACAUGCAAGUCGAACGAAAAGCGAUGGAAGCUUGCUUCUAUCAAUCUUCGUGGCGAACGGGUGAGUAACGCGCAAUCGACCUGCCCUUCAGAGGGGGGCAACCGUUGGAAACGACUGCUUAUACCGCAUACGAUCUAAUCUCGGCAUCGAGGAUAGAUUAAAGGUGGCCUCUACAUGUAAGCUCUCAGUCAAGGAGGGGAUUGCGCUGGGUUAGCUAGCUGGAGGGGUAACGGCCCACCAAGGCGAUGAUCAGUAGCCGGUCUGGGAGGAUGAACGGCCACAUUGGGACCUGGACAAGGCCCAGACGCCUACGGGAGGCAGCAGGGGGGAAACUUCCGCAAUGGACGGAAGGCUGACGGAGCACCGCCGGGGGAGGGAUGACGGCCUUCGGGUUUUAAAGCUCUGUUUAUCGGGACGAAAGGCCUUCUUGCGAACAGUUAGAAGGAUUGACGGUACCGGAAGAGAAAGCCACGGCUAACUACGUG